RNAcentral lists this ribosomal RNA (818 nucleotides) under uncultured archaeon. RNAcentral describes it as "bacterial SSU rRNA". It matches the Rfam family "Archaeal small subunit ribosomal RNA", at positions 87 to 871 of the family's 1478-position model. The record is from RNAcentral.
GGCUCAGUAACACGUGGAUAAUCUGCCUUAUGAUUCGGAAUAACAUCGGGAAACUGAUGAUAACACUGAAUAAGAAGAUUGAUACUGGAAAUGGUACUUUUUUUUGAAACAGUUAGGUCAUAAAGAUGAGUUGGCGGGCUGAUUAAGCUUUGGUUGGGUAAAGGUAAAUGGCCUCCACCCAAAGGCGAAAGAUCCAGUAAGGGGAGAUGAGAGUUCUUAAGCCCCGAGAAAGGACACUAAGACCAAAGGGUCCUAGCUYUAAGGNAGUGCAGCAGCCGCGAAACCUUUUGCAAUGCACGAAAGUGUGACAAGGGAACCCCAAGUGCUUGCUGUUUUCAGUGAGCUUUUGCCAAGAGUAAAUAUCUUGGCGAAUAAGUGGUGGGCAAGACCGGUGCCAGCCGCCGCGGUAACACCGGCGCCACAAGUGGCGAUCAUUAUUAUUGGGCCUAAAGCAUCCGUAGCCGAUUAUAUAAGUCUCCUGUGAAAUCGUUGAGCUUAACUCAACGGCGUGCAGGAGAGACUGUUUGGUUAGAGACUGGGAGGAGAUAGGAGUAUUCCUUGGGAAGCGGUAAAAUGUGAUAAUCCUUGGAGGACUACCAGUGGCGAAGGCGCCUAUCUAGAACGGGUCUUGACGGUGAGGGAUGAAAGCUUGGGGGAGCCGAAAUGGAUUAGAUACCCACGUAGUUCCCAGCCGUAAACCGCUUGCGAACUGGGUGGUUGCAUAUUCUUACGAGAAUGUGCAGUGCCGAAAGCGAAGGUGUUUAAGUUCGCCGCCUGGGAAGUACGGCCGCAAGACUGAAACUCAAAGGAAUUGACGG